RNAcentral lists this ribosomal RNA (2193 nucleotides) under Triticum aestivum (bread wheat). RNAcentral's name for it is "partial small subunit ribosomal RNA". The record is from RNAcentral. Lineage: Eukaryota; Viridiplantae; Streptophyta; Magnoliopsida; Poales; Poaceae.
AUGCAGCCCAACAGGACCGACCGGCCCAACCCCUCCCCGAGUCGUCUCCCUCUCCUCCCCUGUUCGACCGACCGGGAAGGGGCUCCUGCUCGUCCCUGCCGGACCCGGCGUCGUGCCCCGUACGCCACCGACGGGAGGAUAAGGCCCCCCUGGCGCCUCGGUUCCUCCCUGGCCUCACUCCCAUUCUCAUCCACUCCCCCUCUCCCAGGCGUUCCCCUCUCUAGUUCUGUCCCACUCCCGAACGCCUCCGUCACCGCUGUUGUCGUCGACCUCACGGCCACGGUUGCCCCCACGCCGAGCUGGGAGGUCCCGCGGAUCCGCCGUCGUGUGCUUCGUCUUCCUCGCCCACGAGCUCAAGCCCGGAGCUACCGCAUCGGCCAGAUCGACAUCAUCUUCUUCCUCGCACCUCCUCCGAUUCCCGGCCUUUACUCCGUUGAUUCAUUGCUGUAUCGCCAUCCCCACGAGCUCGAGCGCCAUGGCCGAAACCUCAUCCACGUGCGCGCCCACGUGCUCCUGGUCGCUCCCUCGCGAGCCACCCACGCCCGCGCCCUUGGGCCUCGCAUGCGCCUGUGCUCCUCCUCCCCUGCUACCGCAGCUGUUGCUGCCCUGCGCUGUCGCGGCCGCGCACUGCUCUACCUGCUGCUGCUUGCGGCGCUGCUGCUGCCCCGCUACGCCAGCCAGCGUGCACGCGCACCGCGCCCCCGCUCGCCUUCUGCUGACGCUGCCUUGCCGUGCCUGCUGUUGUUCUGCUGUCGCUACUGCUCUUUCCUGCUGCUUCCUCUGCCUGGCGAUGAGGGGGCGACGGGGAGUGCGGCCGCCGGGAUCCCGGCGGGAUCGCGGCCUGCUCCCUCCGGUGAGCAGCGGCAGGUGGGGGGCCGGUUCUGGGCCCUUGCCUACGCCGACGAGGAUGAGGGGGGUGACGACACGGAUGUGGUGCCGUCAUCGCCGCCUACUCCGACGCCCUCUGAUCUGUUGUGUGAGUUCUUGGGUGCAGGUUAUGACAAAGAUGAGGUCGCUUCCACCGUCGACAAGGUUUUGCCCCUCGAGGAUCCGGCUAGGGUCGGGCUUCAUGCGGGAGAAACCAAGGAUGUGCUGCGCCGGGUGGUUCACCGGAGAACGGCGGCGACGGCGAUCCGGUCGUGGAAGGGCCCCUUGCCUAAGGAGAAAGAGCGCUCGCCGGGCAGUGCCUCGAUCGGUGCUGGAGAUGACCGCGGUUGCGCCGCCGGCGGUCAUGGCGAUCCAGAUCGGGACGGCUCGCUAGGAGCGUUUGAAUUCGCUCCUGGGCCGAGACGCGUUGUAUUGUGGUGUUGGGCCGGUGGGUUUGAGUGGGCUAGGGUCCGCUGGGCAUGCACGUCCAGAUCAUUGUCGCUGGUUCCUGCGUCCUGCCCUAGGGCUCUCAUUAGACAAACGCCGAGACGACGUUUUGCGGGGAGUGGCCGGGCGCGCCGCAUCUUCCUGCUAGGGGCCAUGGCGAGGCCUGGAGGUGCUCCGCCGCCUGGGAAGAAGCCGUUUGCGCCGGGUGGGGCUGGCCGCGCUGGAGGGGCGCCGCCGCUAGGCCCGGGCAGCGGCAGGGGCCUUGCGCCAUCGCCGGCAGUCGGCGCUGGUCGUGGAGCAGUGACUACGGCGGGUCGAGGAGCUGCUGGUGGAGCGCCUAAUGCUGCGGCGGGUCGCGGCGCUGGCAGUCUGCCCGUUGCCCGGCCACCGACGGCAUCUCCGGUGGUCGUUCCCUCGGCCGGACGUGGAGGGCCGGUCCUCGGUCCUCGCCGGAUGGCGCCCGGCGUGGCCAGUGUGGUUGCUGUGGGUCGCGGUGCAGCGCCGCCUAGGCCUCCCGCGCCGACGAUGGGCUUGCAACCGCGGCCGACUCUGCCGCCGCAUUACGUUGUUCGGCCGCCUCAGAAUCGGGCUGCGCCGGUGGGGUCGCAGGCGCCGCCGCCGCAGAGCAGUGCCUUUGGUGGUGCCUCAGUUAUGCCCAGGGGUCAAUGGGGGGAUGACGGUUAUAAUGCCUAUGGAGCUGGGCAGCACCGGGGUUCCUCGUCCACGGGUGGAGGUCGUGGAUUUGCUUGGCAGAGCGACAGAUCAGCGGAGAGGCCGUUCUUGGGUCCUACCGGUGGUUUUGUCGAGGGGGCAUCUGGCCCGGGUCAUCGGCAGCGGGGUGGUUUCCACGGCCAUCGUGGCGGUCAUCAUGCACUAUGA